This is a long non-coding RNA of Populus nigra (black poplar), 864 nucleotides long. RefSeq lists it as uncharacterized. The record is from RefSeq and is a predicted model, not a curated record. The transcript is spliced from 3 exons. Lineage: Eukaryota; Viridiplantae; Streptophyta; Magnoliopsida; Malpighiales; Salicaceae.
UAAUGGAACGGAGAAUGAAGAAUGAAGAAUGAAGCUUAUAGCCUAUCCAUUUCUGUGAAAUCACUCCCACGCACACUACUCAUCUGCUCAGUCCAUGGCAAUGGCAGCAGCAGCUUCUCUUCUGUCACUUCGCUGCCCUUCUUCUCCAUUCAAGGAUUGAAGCCCAAGGCAUGCAACUUCACUUGUCUUAAACUCUAUUCUAAGAAGAAAAGACCAUUAGUGAUCAUCAACCAAGCAGCAGCAGCAGCUUCUGUGGUUACUACAUCUCCAGGAGUGAGGUUCAGGCUGGACAAUCUGGGCCCGCAACCGGGGUCUAGAAAGAAAGGGAAGAGGUAUCUCUGCAGGACAAGGAAACAGUUGUGGUUUUGGCAUGAGAGGUCAGAAAUCUCGGCCUGGUCUUGGUGUUCGAAAAGGGUUUGAGGGUGGACAAAUGCCUCUGUACCGCCGUAUCCCUAAAUUGCGUGGAAUUGCUGGAGCCUGGAGCUGUUUAAAGACUACUGUGAUAAUCCUAUAUAUUGUCAGUCUUUUUGGUAUAUGGAAAUUAUAAGCUUCGGUGGUCGAAAUCUCUAGUCCGCUGCUUGUCAUAGAAUGAAGAGACUCCAGUUGAUUUCCUAGAAAGGAGAGAAGACAGAUCAAGUCAAUUGCAUGUGAGAGCCACAAAUCACAGUAGUGUUUUCUAGUAGUUGACUAUGAGACACGCUUAUUUUCUUUUGGAUUUAGGUUCUGGGUGAUGGAGAGCUGAGUGUCAAGCUGAACAUCAAAGCUCGUGCCUUUUCAGCAGCGGCCAAGGAGAAACUUGAGGCUGCUGGAUGCUCUCUUACUGUUUUACCGGGCCGAAAGAAAUGGGUGAAACCAUCAGUUGCU